Molecule: unclassified non-coding RNA, 426 nt
Filed under: Hevea brasiliensis (rubber tree)
Lineage: Eukaryota; Viridiplantae; Streptophyta; Magnoliopsida; Malpighiales; Euphorbiaceae
Source: RNAcentral
CCCUACCAUCUCCUUCAAAAUCUCUUUUGCCUCUGUCAUUUUCCCAGCAUUACAAAGCCCCGGCAACAAACUCGAAUAUGUGUGAGCAUUAGGCUUAAUACCAAAAGACUUCAUCUCCUCAAGCAAUCUCAGCCCAUCAUCCACUCUAUCUACAGAAACAUACCCUUUAAUCAUAGUCGUAUAACUAAUAACUGUAGGAGCUAUGUUUUUCCCCUUCAUCUCUACAAACAACUUCUCUGCCUCCUCCAUCUUUCUAAAUCUAUAAUACCCAUUGAUCAUCGUAUUAUAAGUAACCACAUCAGGGGAUAUCCCUCUAGUCUUCAUAUCCUCAUAAAACCUCAUUGCUGUUUCCAACCUCAAUGACAAGAAGAAACCCCAAAGCAUAAUAUUGUAAGUAUGCCUAGUUGGCUCAAUCCCUUCACUCAG